Molecule: non-coding RNA, 125 nt
Organism: Triticum aestivum (bread wheat)
Lineage: Eukaryota; Viridiplantae; Streptophyta; Magnoliopsida; Poales; Poaceae
Source: Rfam
UACAUACUCCCUUCUUCCGAAAAUACUUAUCAGAAAAAUGGAUAUAACUAUAUAUAUUUUAGUUAUAGAUAUAUCCAUUUUUAGACAUUUCUUUGACAAGUAUUUCCGGCCGGAGGGGGUAUUUU